GACGAACGCUGGCGGCGUGCCUAAUACAUGCAAGUCGAACGCUUUUUCUUUCACCGGAGCUUGCUCCACCGAAAGAAAAAGAGUGGCGAACGGGUGAGUAACACGUGGGUAACCUGCCCAUCAGAAGGGGAUAACACUUGGAAACAGGUGCUAAUACCGUAUAACACUAUUUUCCGCAUGGAAGAAAGUUGAAAGGCGCUUUUGCGUCACUGAUGGAUGGACCCGCGGUGCAUUAGCUAGUUGGUGAGGUAACGGCUCACCAAGGCAACGAAGCAUGGCCGACCUGAGAGGGUGAUCGGCCACACUGGGACUGAGACACGGCCCAGACUCCUACGGGAGGCAGCAGUAGGGAAUCUUCGGCAAUGGACGAAAGUCUGACCGAGCAACGCCGCGUGAGUGAAGAAGGUUUUCGGAUCGUAAAACUCUGUUGUUAGAGAAGAACAAGGAUGAGAGUAAAAUGUUCAUCCCUUGACGGUAUCUAACCAGAAAGCCACGGCUAACUACGUGCCAGCCGCCGCCGUAA
RNAcentral lists this ribosomal RNA (523 nucleotides) under uncultured bacterium. RNAcentral describes it as "partial 16S ribosomal RNA". It matches the Rfam family "Bacterial small subunit ribosomal RNA", at positions 28 to 523 of the family's 1533-position model. The record is from RNAcentral.